AUGGUCUCAAAGGAGCCCUUCAUGCUGCCUGGCUCCCCAGCAGGGGCUGCAGCAUCUCUGCUUUUUGGGGGGAAAGCCCAGCUCCAAAAACUGCAGCUUCCAUCAGCUCUCUGUGAAGGGGAUGCACAAACCCCAGGUGCUUGCUGCUGCUGCUGGGGUGGCCGGAGGCGGAUGGGAGGGCUUGGCUGCCCCAUCCAGGAGCUUCUGCAGGGCUUGAGAGGGCUUCCUGCUGCCAGGAUGGCUGGGGAGGAGGCGAGGAAGCAUGGUGGGGGAGUAUGGAGGCAGCUGUUGGUUUGGCCAUGGAGCAGGUUUUUAGGGAAAUUGACUCCAACAGCAACAGGAGCAUCUCGCCCAUCAGCCCCUCUCAAAAGCCUGGCCGGUUUGGCACCGCUGUGGCCGUUCUGCCCCGUCCCCAGUCUCGUGUCCCUGUGGGGCUGUGUCCCUGAGCACAGCUGGGGCAGUGCUCAGAAGUGCUCAUCCCUCCAGCUGUGCGCCUGCAGGAGGAUGCCCCAAAGAGCCCUGGGGUGCAGAGGAGGGACGUUCCUCCUGCUUUUCCCUGCCUUUAGUGUGCCUGUGAGAUGGCAGAGCCGAAGGAAGAGCCUUUCCUGUGCCAGCUUCUCAGUUUUAGGAGAGCAAGGGGACAGAGGUGGCCCCAGCUGGUGGCAGCACCCAGCCCGGGGUGGGUUUUGCAGGCCUGGGAGUGGGUCACCCCUCUCCUUCCUCUGCAACCUCUUUGUGUUUGGACCUUCCAAAACUAAGCAGGGACCUGGCACAUGUUGCUUUGCCUCUAAAUUUCCCAUUUCCACCCCGUUUUGCCUGGUGGGUGAGUGACAAAGACCACCCAUCUUUGCUCCAUGCAAACCUUGGCUCCUGUUCCCAAGAGUUAUCCAACCUCUGCUGAGAGCCACCAGCACGGAGCCUGUGCCGGGAGCAAACCCAUCAACUAAAAACCAGAACAAUUUUUUUUUUUUUUUCCCUACCACCCUUUUCAUGGUUAUAACAGUUUCUGGGCUUGGAGCUUUCCAGGAGGCUCCGGCAGCUCCCAAAGUGACGUGGGGUUUCCACCACUGGAAUAUUUGUCUGAUUAACCGGUGUCACGGCUGCGCUCAAGGCGGUGGGGAUGUGUGUGGCGUGCGUGUAUGUAUGUAUAUAUAUGUGUAUGUAAUUAAUAUAUAUGUAUAUAUGUAUAUACGUGUGUGUGCAAAGCACGCACGCGUGCACAGCUUCAAUGCAAACUGCACCUCAUGGGGAGGAGGGAGUGCUGGGGGUGCAGGAUUUGACCCUGUGCUCCCGGCUCCUUCCUUCACCCCAGCUAUGGCAGUGAGGGCCGGAUCCUGCCCCCUGGGCUCUGCCAGGGCUGGGGGAAGGAGCCCUUUGCCGCCUGCCCCUUUCCCUGGCCAGAGCUGAAACGGAGCCCGAGGGGGCAGCGAAGCCCCCAAGAAGGGCGGCGAGGCUGCGCUGCUUUGCCCCACGUACCUGUGCCUGCAGCUCCACGGCCGCACCCACGUUCCGGCUCCAUAGAGACAUCUCAGUCUGGAGCACGCAUAGUUUUGGGCUUUGGUUUUUUAUAACAUUUUAUUAUUUUGCUAAAAAAAAAUACUCACCCUAGGAGACGCCCGCGCAAUGCCCAGAUUUAACCCCACACACCUUGCAGACAGCUCCACCGCUGCAUUUCCAAAGACCUCAAGGGUACCAGUGACUCUACGCGUGUCAACCACCCUUUUCUGGGUCCCCCUGGUCUAAGUCAUAAAUGUACAGCCGACAAUCAAACCUGACAGAAAUGCUGACUUUAGAAAAAAUACGUAUCCAUUGCAGUUUGAUAGAACUUUUUAAAAUCACGUGCUUAUCUCUCACUAACGCUCACCACCAUGUUGCCAGGAUAAAUCACCGCCCAUCGGUUCUUCUGUAAAUAAACACGAGACAUUCUUGUAUAAAUUAAAAAGAAAAAAAAAUGAAAAAAAAAAUCCAUUGAUAUAUGUCCAAAAAUAUCCCUUUCCAGAAGAUUUAAAUAAUUCAAAGAAAAAGGAAAACCUAACAAGUGAGCCCCACUUUACUUUUUCUUUGGAGCUGGUUUAAAUUCCCAAUAGGAGAAUGAAAAAUCUUUAACAGUAGAAGAAAACUACGAGUGUUUUACCUUUCAAUGAAUAUGGGAGGGAAAAAAUGCAUGUAAAUAUUUUUAAUAGGAAACAUAUCUUAAACAGAACUUCUUUUUGUAUGUACAUAACUCUUCUAGAGUUUAGUACUUAAAUUGCUUCAUAGUGUCUGUUUAAAAACAAAAAUAAAAUAAAAUGUUUGUUAAUUGUUUUUGUUCUUACUCAAUGGCCAAAACUUUAAAAAUAAUAAAAAAGACUAUAAAAAAUAAUCUUUGCCAACGGAUCUAGCACUGUAAUGGUACUGUCUAUUUUUUUUAAUUAUUUCUGUGCUGUGCCCAUUUAUAAAAGGAAAAAAAAAAAAACAAAGAACAAAAAAUAAAGUCAUUUAAACAUUAUCUGCCCAGGGCUUCGCCUGCUUUCUUGCUGCCGCCCGCCUGCCCCGGCUUUUUGUCGUGCCGAGGGGCUGCGGGUGAAGGGAGAUGUCACUCGCUCUCGGUGUGAUGCUGUCAGGCGAGGGCUGGUGGAUAAUUAAUUAAAGGUCUCCAUGGCAACGCUGUGGGGCUGCUGACGAGCCGGCAGCAGCAGGAGCCAGCGCAGCAGUGCCCAUUGAUGCAGGACCGGGGUGCAGGGGGGCUGUGAGCACUGCGGGUGUCCCCAGCUCUGCCGAGAGCCGGGCCAUCAUGUCCCCAAGGGCCACCACCGUCACCAGCGAGUAGCUGAGCACUGGGAGCUGCUGGGGGUGAGCCCACAGCAAAAGGGUUCCCCAUCCCUGGGGUGUCCUGCCAGGGUCUUCCCACUGUCCCAGGUCCUUGGGGGUGCCUGGCUCGGAGCCCCCUGCUAUUCCCAGCUCUCCUGCUCUGGCCACGUGCCUCUCCGUGAGCAGGAGGUGGAAGGAAGCAUCCUCGCCUGCUGGCCUCAGGUCCCGCUCUCCUUUCCAAAGCAAUUCCUGGAAGCGAACGUGGUGAGAGGUUUGGCAGCGAUGUGCUGGUCUCCAUAAGGAGUCUUGGCUGUGUUUAACCAGCUCUCUUGCGUUGCAGAGGACAGACCUCCACGGGUGCAGCAGCGACGCUGAGAGCCAGGGCAAUGCCACUGCUGGUGCGGGCUGGGGAGCCUGAGGUCCCCAUCGCCCCCAGCCCCUGUGCACUCCUCAGAGCUACUUUUGGUGUCUCAUUGACUCCAGAAGCAUCUCACAUUCAGCAGGGCCACCCAAUCGGGCUGUCAAACCAUCCCCAGACCCAGCAGCAGUGACUUCAGCCAGCUGCUGCUACGAGCUAUGGGAAUAACUGCUCACAGGGAGGUGUCGGUAUUCGGGCUGGAGGCUUGGAACAGGCUCCAAUUAUACCCCCAUUCCUUGUGUUUUGUUUUUUCUCCCCAACAGCUGUAUGGAAAUGUUCCCUUUCUGCAGCACCCUUGCAGCCCCCCAGGAUUUGGGAGGAUGACCCCAAACAGCCCCAGUGGUGUGGGUUUUUUUUUUUUUUUUUUCAGCAAAAUGGUCUCCCUGUGAGUGACCCAUCGUAAAUCUCCAUGAUGAGUUGAGCAUCCAAGAAUAAUAACCUAUCCAGGG
RNAcentral lists this long non-coding RNA (3657 nucleotides) under Cairina moschata (Muscovy duck). Its description in RNAcentral is "domestica (muscovy Duck (domestic type)) lncRNA (ENSCMMG00000007754.1)". The record is from RNAcentral. Lineage: Eukaryota; Metazoa; Chordata; Aves; Anseriformes; Anatidae.